Molecule: ribosomal RNA, 481 nt
Filed under: uncultured bacterium
Lineage: Bacteria
Description: bacterial SSU rRNA
Rfam family: Bacterial small subunit ribosomal RNA
Source: RNAcentral
GAACGCUGGCGGCAGGCCUAACACAUGCAAGUCGAGCGGUAGAGAGGUGCUUGCAUCUCUUGAGAGCGGCGGACGGGUGAGUAAUGCCUAGGAAUCUGCCUAGUGGUGGGGGAUAACGUUCGGAAACGGACGCUAAUACCGCAUACGUCCUACGGGAGAAAGCGGGGGAUCUUCGGACCUCGCGCCAUUAGAUGAGCCUAGGUCGGAUUAGCUAGUUGGUGAGGUAAUGGCUCACCAAGGCGACGAUCCGUAACUGGUCUGAGAGGAUGAUCAGUCACACUGGAACUGAGACACGGUCCAGACUCCUACGGGAGGCAGCAGUGGGGAAUAUUGGACAAUGGGCGAAAGCCUGAUCCAGCCAUGCCGCGUGUGUGAAGAAGGUCUUCGGAUUGUAAAGCACUUUAAGUUGGGAGGAAGGGCAGUAAGUUAAUACCUUGCUGUUUUGACGUUACCAACAGAAUAAGCACCGGCUAACUUCGUG